This 665-nucleotide ribosomal RNA is filed under the name uncultured bacterium. RNAcentral's name for it is "bacterial SSU rRNA". It matches the Rfam family "Bacterial small subunit ribosomal RNA", at positions 9 to 669 of the family's 1533-position model. The record is from RNAcentral.
GAGUUUGAUCCUGGCUCAGGAUGAACGCUGGCGGCGUGCUUAACACAUGCAAGUCGAACGGAAAUGAUACGCUGAUGCGAUCUCGGUCAAAUCAUGUAUCAUUUUAGUGGCGGACGGGUGAGUAACGCGUGGGUAACCUGCCUUACACCGGGGGAUAACACCUGGAAACAGGUGCUAAUACCGCAUAAGCGCACGGGAGCGCAUGAUCCUGUGUGAAAAACUCCGGUGGUGUAAGAUGGACCCGCGUCUGAUUAGCUGGUUGGCGGGGUAACGGCCCACCAAGGCGACGAUCAGUAGCCGGCCUGAGAGGGUGGACGGCCACAUUGGGACUGAGACACGGCCCAAACUCCUACGGGAGGCAGCAGUGGGGGAUAUUGGACAAUGGGGGAAACCCUGAUCCAGCGACGCCGCGUGAGUGAAGAAGUAUUUCGGUAUGUAAAGCUCUGUCAGCAGGGAAGAAAGAAAUGACGGUACCUGACCAAGAAGCCCCGGCUAACUACGUGCCAGCAGCCGCGGUAAUACGUAGGGGGCAAGCGUUAUCCGGAAUUACUGGGUGUAAAGGGAGCGUAGACGGUAAUGUAAGUCUGGAGUGAAAGGCGGGGGCCCAACCCCCGGACUGCUCUGGAAACUAUGUUACUAGAGUGCAGGAGAGGUAAGCGGAAUUC